Pseudopipra pipra is the source of this 13832-nucleotide long non-coding RNA. RefSeq lists it as uncharacterized. The record is from RefSeq and is a predicted model, not a curated record. The transcript is spliced from 2 exons. Lineage: Eukaryota; Metazoa; Chordata; Aves; Passeriformes; Pipridae.
GUGGGGAUUGUCUAAGAAGCUACUAAUUGCCCCGGGGCAAAAACUGUGGAGAAAACAUUAAUUAAACAGUAUGGAUACCAGUGACCUGGCCUUAACGUGUUCACUAACACAUAUUAAGCCAAAGCUUCUUAGUACUGACGAGAAAAGGGAAUUGGCAGUGUAUCUUUAUAUAAGGGGCUUUAUUUGUUCAGUUUUCAUUUCGAUAUUUAUAGGAAAUUAUAUAGAAAAAGAACUGUUAUAGGUUAUGUAAAAUCUUGGAAGUACAAGCUAGGGUUUGAGUUGUGAAGGUAGCACAAUUUACAGAAAUUUAGGCAUUUUUAAAUCUUGGGUGUGAUAUGAAGCAAAGAUCCUUGACAAAAAAUCCUAAUGGUGAAUUUAAAUGACUGCUGUAGUGCAAACAUCCAGAUAUGUGAAUUACAAUUGCACAGGUAGUCCUACUGGUAGUAUCUUACUUUAGUCAUUAUACUUUUAUGUAUAAAUGAAGCAUUUCUAACUCAAUCUAACCCAAAAAUACUACCCAGUCUCCAUGUGAACACAAGGCAAGACACGUAGGAUUUCAAAGUUAAUUUCUAUCAUUCUAUCAUUCUAUUCUCUAGAGUAAUUUUUUUGGCAAAAGAAUAUUUUUUUUUCUCAUGCUUUCUCAUAAUUCAACCAAUCUUAGGCUGUUAAGUGGUAAGUUUCAUGGAAAACGACUGUGUUUUUUGACUCAUGGGUUUCCAUCUGUGUUUAACUUUCAUUGCAGAGCUUACUAGAAAUCCAGUUAAUAAAGCCACUGGAAUCUAGAGAGCUGUUCUGCUGACCAAGCUGUGCAGAGGACUCAGUUUCACCAGUGUUCAAUAACUUUUCUGACAUCUUGGACUGUCCAAAACAUCUCAUGGGAGUAGACUUCUUAUUAUGAUAGGAUUUUUAAGGCACACCCACUUGUCUCUAGAGCUAGGCCAGGCUAAAUACUCUUAGAAAAAUGGCACUGGAAAACAGGAAACUAAACCUAAGCAUUGCCUUAUGGGUCACACAGUCCUUUCCAGGAGUCACAGGACCUGUAGCCACAUAUUGGCCUUCAGUCCAAAACAAAAUCUCUGCCACUGUGUUGGAGAGAGAAGGGGAAGGCUGAACACCUUGAAGUCUUGUUAAAAAAAAAAUAAAAUCAAAAGCAAUAUAUUUCCAUCUUCCUUCACAUAACUGUAUUGUUCAUUCUACUCAUACCUUCUUAUUGAAAACAUGUAAACCAGAAAGGGAUCUCAUUUUUCAUUACUUUUUUUUUCCUAAAAGGGAUAUUCAGAAGUGUAGACCAUUUUAAUUAGGAGCUUCUAAUAAGUCUAAGGUCUCUUAUGUCAGACUUGGAAGAAAUCGAUCCUUUCACAGUGAGAGCAUUACAAAGAAUUCCAAAAUCCUUUUUCAGUCCAUGUGAUCUGUGCUGAGAUAUAUUCACUGGGGAAUGAAUAUCUUUCAUCACACUACAUGAAAUUUCAUUCUAGUACAUUAACAUUAAGAAUACUUUUUUUUCCCUAUAAAGCUUUUGGUAAGAAUUUAUAUGCACUGUCACAUACUAGGGUGUCUCUGUGUAUGUUUCAUGGCAUGUAGAAUAAUGAUAGCAUAAACCUGAGAUACAGCAUAAAUGUCAGCACACUCCCUCAGCUGUUUCAUAUAACCAGUUCAGCUUCUUAAUGUGUCAUCCUAAAAGUAGCUGUCUUAUAUCUGCUGUGUUCACCUACAAUAGAGAGAUAUCUACCUCUGUAUUGCUGCUAUUUUAGAAAAUAGCUUACACUGACAGCAAUUCUGUUUUCCUUUAGAAAAUCCUUGAAACAAAAUGGUUGUAUCUGUUGCUUUCUUGUCUAAAGUAAGUAUCUGUCAUUUAUACUGUGCCAGACCCCUUGAAAGGGCUUUUCAAAAGUUAAUAACUAUUUUUUGCAACACUCAGUGCAUUAGGAUUUGCUCAUUUGUCAGCUAGGUAAUUGAAGAUGUAAGGAGGAAAAGUGACUUAGUCAAGGCUGCACACGAAGCUGGCAAUAGCAAUAGGUGUAGAGUUUAAAUCUUUUCUUUCCACUGCUCUAUUGAAUGCUUUUCCACUUUGUGAAUAAAGACCAUUUCAUUCUGUUUUUCUCAGGACCGUGGAACUAAUUCAUCAGUGAGGAGAAAUAAGUUGGUCUUUUUUUUCCUGUUUUUUUUUUUUUUUUUAUGUAAAAAAAUUUUCUCAAAUUUUGAAAGCUCUUGUCCAGCUGAACAGCAAUCAAAGCUGGUUUGCUGUUUGCUUUGGAGAUGACCAUUCACCUACUCCAGAUUAGGUGACAGACUCCAGUACUUUGUCCAAAGACAGAGUUCCUGAAGUUUAGGAUGGGAGAGCAGACUUUCCAAGGAUAACAACUCUCUUUGCCAAUACACUGUUGCUUGCAUCAAUUGGGAAAUAUCACCUUUCUUUUUUUUAUACAAUCCAUAAAAGUGGAGUGGGAUUUUAUUAUAUUCAUUUUAUACCCCCUCUGUAAAGUAGAACUAAGCACUAUAUUUUUAACAAAGAUACAUAACUACAUGAACAAUGAGUCAUCUGGUCAAAUGUAGUCAUCUGACUAAUAGUUCACAAUACUCAUAUACUAGAACUAACCUGUUCAGUUGUGGUAAUCCAGACUGAGAUAUCUAAGUUUACUGAUGAGUGUUGUCAAUGCUGCAUUCUGUUACAUACAGAAAUUCAGGACCUAUUUUUGUUUCCCAGACUAGCCAAAACAUGGUAGAUUUUCAUAGAUUUUUUCAUGGGUAUAGAGUAGAAUAUAUUGAAUUCCAAUGGCAGACAGCUUAAGGGAAAAAUUGAAAAAGGUAUGGACUUUUUUCUUCAGUUCUGUGAUCUAACACAGGCUAAAAAGCAGACUAAACCCUGGAGAGUGGUAUUAAGUCCAUGAGGUAUCCUAAGGCUGAUGGGCAGUGAACUCUGCUUGCAGAAGGUGCCGUGGGGAACUUAAUAAUAAAUUCACAGCACAGAGGUGUAUCUGUGAUCAGAUCACUUCACUUGCAUUUCAUUUAACUGUCCUAUUGGGAGGAGAGAGUAUUAUUACGAACAGUCUAAGGAACAGCCCCUGGCAUAUUUUCCCACAACUAUGUUGAGUAUUGUCUGGAAAAAUAUGAGAAAGCAAAGAUAAAACCAUGCCUAUGAGCUUGCUUACAAUUAAUACCACAGGUGGUUUCCUAUCACUGAACCCAAUUGUGCCUUAGUCUUAUUUUGUUUAAUAGGGUAGACUUAGCCUAAAAACCUAAGUUCAGCUUUGUCAAGUGGAAUGUCCAACAAAGUCAAUCUCUAGUGUUUUGGCCCAACAUUGUUUGCAUGUUGUUUUUGUUUGCAUUAUUUAGUUAUUGCAAUCUUUCUACUUUUCACUUCUAUGCAAUACGCAUAGCAGAAAAAAAUUCUAUACAAUAGUACUGACAAAAGUUGAACUUUGUCUUUAGAUUAUGACUGCAUUAAUUCGGAAAGAUAGCACCAUUUGAUCUUAUUUUUCUACCCUAUAUGAAAUUUCUUUCUUUCUUCUCACCUCUGUUAACAUAUCCUUUUAUAUCUAAUUGAUUUCUCAUUCCAUCCACAUCUGCAUAAAUUUACGGUUCCAUAAAUCAGUAUGCAAAUGCAGGCUGAACAGCCCUACUGUGUAGGUGUGAAUAGGUCACCGUUGCCAUAAUUAGCAGCACACCUGCUGAUGUUGAUGGUUAUUUAUUGUUUCUUUGUUAUAUUGUGUCAGAAGAAACUAAAGAUCAUUUUGUUACCUAGAAUUUCUGACUAAAUUUGAUAGACAGCAGUGGAAAGGGGAAACUCAUAUGAAUUUUAUCUCACUCACAAAUUACCAUUUUUUUAAAGGGCAGGUUCAAUUCACUGAGAAAAUUCUUAAGAUAAAUUAUACAUUUGUGUUCAUUACUUAAAAGGGUUAUUUGAUGGAAGAAUUUUUUUACAUUAUUUCAUCAAGUAAAAGGUUUCCCUUGCCAAGUGCUAGUCCUUGUACACAAUUACAUUUACGUAAAAAAAAAAUAAAUUACAUUUUUUCCAGAACAAUUCUUGUAUGUGCAUUUUCUAGUGUAAAUUUUUCUAAGUUGUAAGUCUGGGUGUUACUGGCAGUAAACAUUGCAAAUUUUCUAUACUGAUAUUCCUAAACUGAAAUUGCAAUACAUCUUAAACUUAAAAUCUUAAAAUACUUUUAGUAAUGCAGUCUGCUAUGCAGAUGAAAGCUAUCUGUAUACUGAACUGCAUUAGUCACAGCCUGGUAGCAUGUCAAUGGAAAUGAUUAUUCCCCUCUGUUCAGCACUUGUGACAUCACGUCUAUUCUGCAUUCAGUUUUAGAAUCACUUGUGCAAGGAAGACUUUAAAAACUAAGUCCAGCAAAAGGCCAUUCUUAAGUACAAUUUAGAGGACUGAAGAACUGGAAAACCAAAGAGACACUGAAAAAAAUGGGUUUAUUCAGUCUGAACAGAAGAAAGUUGAUAGAACUGAAAGACUGUUUUCACCUAUCUGAUGCAGGAUUGUGGAGGAGUCAGACUCUUGGAGGUGCACAGCAAAUGCAUAAAAGCAGAGAUGCAAGUUGCAGAAAGGGAAAUUCAGACUGGCUAUAAGGAAAAAAAAAUUGCAAUGAUGGUGGUAAGAACAUGAAUGCAGGGCCCAAAGGCCCUCGGGGGUCCUCAUCCCAUAGAUAUUGAAAAUUUGAUUGAUCUGGAAGUCAUAUCCUCUGAGAAGUGUAAGAGUUCUGAGGAAUGAUCUGCUUUGUAUUGUAUACAAAUGGCUUCCAAUUAUUUGAAGCAAACACAUAACUGAUCAGCAUUGCUACAAUCUCUUGCAUUCUGUAUUGCAAUGCUUUUCUUGCUGCCAAAGACAACUUUUAUAUUUUCCUGACAUAAAACAGACUUGUCAGUACUUUGCAACCUAAAUUUCUAAUGGAGGCUGCUAUUAGAACUGAUGCAGUCUCAGUGACAAGUUUGCUUUACCCUGCAAAGGAAAUGGUAUGUGUAUUGACACAGAGGAUGUCCUUUGACACGUCAAAGAUGUUUUCUUUUUCAUGCAAAAGAGAGGACAGCAAGUGGCAGUGUAUGAGGAUUAAUGUAUACUUCAGUAGGGUAUGUUUCCUCUUUCCUGUGUUUUGACCAAAUAUUGCCUUUAAGCAUCCUAAAAUGGAAUACCUGGAGCUAAAAUGUAAGAAACAAAGGAGUAUAUAAAAGUAUUCAGCAGCUUGAAUAGUGCUGCAGGUAUCUGAACCUUUGUUAGUGCUACUAAUGUUUUUGUAUCCUCCUCAUGUCUGUAUCUUAUGGACUCAUAUGAGUUCUAGAAUCCAAUUUUCACCUAAGAAGCUCAUGCAAUACUUGUAUCAAAUCCAUACUGCUGGUCAUGGAUAAGUCCAAAGAAAGGUCACAGUGAAGACAGGAAGUCAUAUUUUAUUUGGGAAUGUUUGGGGUUUUUUGUAGUUCCCAAGGCCAUUCUCUAAUUGCUAGACUCAGGAUGUUAAGACAUCACACCAACCCGAUUGAGUCAGGAUGCCUCAUCAGCACUCUUAUCAAUAAGAGGAAAAAAAGAGUCAGGAUUAAUAAAAGGAAACAGAAACUAUAAAGACAGUACAAAGAAAAAAAAAAGUGGAAGAUGGAUAUAAGAAUAUUUUCUAGAAGAAAAUCUAGAUAAUAAAAGGGGUAGAAAAACAGGCUGAGAAGAAAACUAGUGAAGAAAUUAUGUUCUGCACUUGGGAAUCAAUACAUUGCAGUUUAAGAAGCCUGGAAGGAAAAGAGUCUUCUGAGACUUACAUGCUAAACUGAAGAUAUAUUAUUCUAUUCUACCAUGCAAUGUCAAAUGUCUCUUGAAAACCUAAAUAGAUUAUGUCUACCACUUCAGUCCUAUCUGCUCCCUGCAUUCUCCUUAUGAUAAGACAGAGAUUUAUAUUCUUAUUCUUCUCUGAUAGGUGCAUCAAUUUCUGCUGUCAGGUUGCCUGUCCGAAUAACAAACCUGCAUAUCACAGAACUGUUUUAAAUGUAAUGUUGAUAGAUGUUGUUUGUGUGCACUUGGCAUCAACUUACAGUCACUUCCCUACAAAUCGCAACCUUCUCAAGAAACACUUAUUUUCUAUCUUUCCCAUAUUCUCAUCAUCAAGAAUUAAUUAUGGUCAGAGAGCCAUUAUUUGGGAUAUUUCUAGGAAUUUUAUGCUUCCCUGUCACUAAAAUGAUUCACUAAGCUGUUUGGAGUACCCCACUUUUUCUGGCUUCAAAAACCCCGGUUUGCAUUUUGGGGACGGAAGAGUUGCCAACACUGAACAAAGAUGACUAUUUUCAGUGAAAUCUCUGGUCUCAUAAAGCAUUGAAAAAUGUUCUCCUGCCUCCAUAGCUGCUGCUGCUGCCUGCCAGCACUCACUCGUGCCCUCUCCAGGACCUUGCACUGUCUCAGCUCCAGGCAGUAGCCCCCCGCUCCUCCCUCCUGCCUACUGCACACACCUACUUCUGCCUUUCCUCUACUCCCAGCUAGAUUAUUUGUCCAAAUACAAUUUCUUUCUCCAGAUUCACACUCUCUUCUGCUUGUUACUUUUCCCUCACAGAAGCAAUGCAUGGCAACUAAACCUUGACCAAGUACAGUCUUGGCCAGUACAGUCAAUGACAAAACCUGGGUUCUUUCAAGAUGUUGCUUCAGCUCCUUCUCUCCUGGACCUACAGCAAGGAAAUAUAAACAUCUCCCAGAAUGAAAAAAGCCAAGUUUUAAUCUCUCCUGAGUAUUGUUGCACUGGUUUCUUAAGUAAACAGGAUACAGAAGUAAAGUCAGAACAAUUUUUUAUGCAAAUAAUGAACUGCGUACUGGCUAAUACUACACCAUUAUUAAAACUCUUCUUGUUUGGGCUUUUUUUAUUUUGAAAAUUCUAUUUUGACAAUAUUAUUCUCCUAUAUAUUUUGCAUUCUUAAUUCACCUCCCUCAUAACUCACAGAGAAGUGAUUUCACACACUGCUCUGCACACUGCAUAGGAACUGUCAAUUUCUUGAAUAAGCUGUAGAAACCUUCAUCAGUUUUUCAGUUUCAGACUUCUUUAAACAUUCAGUUUGCAAAACUGGUAUUUUACUUGUAAUCUAUCUUUAUAAACUCACAGAAAGUCUGUUGUAAUGCACUGUGUUUGCUCUUUUCGUCCCUAUCUUCAUAUAUCCAUGCAACAUUCACAGACAUUCAGUGUGUAUCACAUGCAACAGUAUAUUCUAAAUGUUAUUCCUUGCAUUUUAAAGUCAUUUUGCCUCAAGUAUUUCAGUAUUAUCAGAUUAAAGCUCACAGUCAUGUGGGAUCAAUAUUUUUAUAUGAUUACAUAUAACUUGUUUAAAAACUAUUUGAACAAUGCUUAUGAAUGUACCUUAUUGAUUUCUACUAAAUAUGAUAAAUUUUUCCUUGUUGUUCCUACCACAAGAGAGUCAGUAGGAAACUUAUCACAGUGGAUCUUUGGACCAAACUUAUAAAACUGACAUUAUCAUUAAAGUUAAUGCUUAGCAAUGACCACGACAGAAUGAAGAUGGCCUCAAUUCUUACGUAAUUCUACCAUAGUAAGUAGAAUUAAGCAACAGAAGUGCUAUGCAUGUUACCUGCAAGAAAUCUUGCUUAUUUUUUCAUGAGUGCCUGCAUACCAAUUUCUACCAGAAUGCAGUUAAAUCUCUGCUAAAAGACAUCUAAUGGAAGAGUUCUGCCUAUUGCAAUGAUACAAGCAUUGCAAGAAUUUCUUAUCAGCCUGAAAAAUGAACUCACAUUUCAAUAGUCAACAUGACUGGAAAAUUUCCAAUUCAAAAUAUUAGUUAUUGAGUUUAUUCAAAACAAUAGGUAAGACCAUCAAGAGAACUGUUUCAAACUUAGCUAGGUGAUGGCAUUUUAUUUUUUCAGUUUUGGGUGAAAAAUCAAAAUACUAAACCAUUCAUGCAAAAUGGAAUUUUGGAAAACAUCCAUUUUAAAUUAAAAAUUUAGAUUUGAAACUUAAUUUCUCAAUUUCAUUCCAUUUCAUUUCAUUAAUUUAAAUAUCAAAUUAACUGACUCAAGUGUUAUACAUUAUGAAAAAAUCCAGUUGAUCAAAACUAGCCCUUUCCUGAAUACAGUUUCAAUUCAUCAUGUUCUUUACAGCUAUACAUUUCCAAUGAAGCAAUCAGAUAUUUCCUACUACAUCCUGAAUAUAUCAUUUUUCGAGGACAUGAAUCUUACAAUAAAUAUGUCACUUUUUCUGAUGAUUGAAGAAAUCAGCAGUCCUGUUAACUAUUUUGCCUAGAGAGUUAAAUGUGACCAAUUUUUGAAAGAAAUAUCCUUAAUUCCUGAAAUAAAGGGUUUUUUUAACAGAUUUUAAAACAUAUGUAAAAUGUAAAUGCCCAAUCACAAUGACAUUCAGAAUAUUCUUCAAUUUUUUUUCUAAGUUAGAUGAGAAUUUAGUAACAUAACAGUAGUAUAUUGGAUAGCAUAGAAUUGUAUUUUGCUACAGUGUUACAGAUUGUUAUAUUGUAUUAUUGUAUUUCUGAAAGAAUGUCUAGUUUCUUUACAAUGUUUUGGCCAAUAAUGCACAUUCAGUUUUUUAUUCCUCUUCCUUGAUGCAUUUACAAUUACAAAAUUUAUUCAGAGACCAGAGGGUUGAUUCUAAAGGUUAAAUAGGCUAUAGUUUAAACAAUGAUUACAGGGUGUAAUAAAAAGAAGCAGAUUGUUCCAGCAAAUAAUUUUGCAAUAUGACAAACAAUCUCAAUCCAUGAAAAACAAAACAAAACAAGAAAUUACCCAAAACCAACAAAGCAAACAAACAGAAGCAGCAUACAAGUCUAAAUGUUACUGUGAGUUUAACCAAUGUCUGGAAAGAAUAAUGGAAGGAAACAGCUGUUUCAUUAAAAACUUGAGUCAAAUAACUCAAGAAAAAUUCUUACAUCAGAUCCUCGGUGUAAAUUGUUGUGGCUGUGUUACCUUCUUGAACAUUUAGAAAGGACUCUUCAUGUAGGUAUCAUAGCAAGUUUUGCUGAGUGAGGAUCUGUCUACUGAGUAGACAGAUUUUGAACAAAUGUAUUUUGAACAAAUUCAUUGAGUCAGUGACUUGAUCAAUCUUAUUCCAGGACUUCUACUUUUGUAUCUCUUUGUUUCAGCUGUAAAGUGAAGGCUUAUGCGAAGUGAACUACAUCUAAUUAAUCGAGGAGUUCACAUCUUCCAUGACUGCAAUUCUUUGAAGUGUUGGGAGAAACAGAAAUAUUUAUCAUGUUCUCAAGGUGGUUUCUGAAGCUUUCAGCCUUGUAUCUAGAUUACAGCCAAUGCCUCUUUCGUCAGCCCUUUCGUAGACUGUGAAAUCAGCAGUUUAAAAAGACAUUCUCAGCACAGGAAGCACAGGGGAACUAAUACAUAUAAUCGAUCUUCAGACUCACAAGAAACCUGCUAACAGGGUUUUAUUUCUGUAGUCAUCCAAAGGAUUAGACUGCUUGGAAAAACACUUUCACUCUCUUUCUGCCUCUUACUCUCUGUGUACCUUAGCCCUUUUUCCUCUCUGUGAUAAAACUACAUGUUGUCUAUAUUUUCUUUUUAAUUAUUUUUGUAAAAUAUCCAUUGCUACUUUUUCACUCAGCCAAGCACAUUCUGCAGUGAGAUCACAGCUGCUUAUAACACUUGAAAGACACUCAGCACAGUAUCCUCAAUAAAAAAGAAACCCAAACCCUACUAUAGGGUUUAUUUUUGCUGUUUUGGAACUUCAUCCUGAAAGAAAAUAGCAACAGCACAGCUUUUAUAUCUCUCAUUAAGUGUACGUGAAAUGCUAUAGAACUAAAUAAGUUAAUAUUAUCUUCUCAAGCUAGUGGUGUCUUGAUCAUUGAUAAGUAGAAACUUAUAUUUACUGUGCAGUGUUUUAAUUCCCCCUGGCACGUUAUUCACUCCUGAAUGCACAAUUUGGUUUAUAGGUAUGGUUCCACUUUCUUACAUACCCACUGUGCUCUCUCAUUGUUUUCUGUUCCUUUCAGCCAUUUCUCUGAGAUACUGUAAUAAUCUGGAUAUCUCCCAGUCACUUCAUUAGUCUCCUCCGUUAGCCAUCCUCAUAGUGAGUUCUUGACAACACUCAUCAAUUCUGGAUGCUUCAAUUAAUUGAACCAGCACCUAUCUUCUCUCUACUUCUGUUAGCUCCUUCCACCAGUACUUUAAAAAUACCCAGCAAAGCAAUACUGUGGGAUGGUAACAGCUCAGUGACUUCAACACAGCGAGAAUGAGCUGAUAAUUUCAUCAGAAAUUUUAGUCAGAAAUAUCCUGCCAUCUCCCCCUGCUCCAAAUUCAAUUUUCAGCUCUGUUUCUAGGGACUCGUAAUAACAUAGAUAUCAAGAAAGAUAGAUGAACUAUACUUCUUUUGAUUUUUUUUUCCCCUGCGUCUUAGUAGGGGUAUGUUGUUUCCUGGAUUGAUGAGCUCAUGAGAGAGUAAAUUCAGAGGCCUUAAAGAAAAUGUGCAGUCCUUUCCAGUUGUCCUCUAUUCAUGCAUUUGGGAUCAACAUGUAAGUGCAUGUGUGUGUUUGUGUGUCUAUGCAUGUCUGGUGUGACCUGAAACUUCUAAACACUAAGUAAAUUGUUCCACCCAAUUAUUUAAUUUUGAAUUUAUUAUCUAUGUAACAAUCAAAAAUAAUAUUUGCAUGUUUUUAUGGAAAUUCAAGCGAACUAAGAAGGAAGAAACAGUCUUUGCUGUAAUCCUUCACUGGAGUAUAUACUUGCUAGUAAAUGCUUUCAAAUUAAUACUUGUGUAUUUCCCAUUAAUUUAUUGGUUUUUUACUUUUAACCAUAACAAAUAAUUUGAGAUCUGGCCCAAUGCAAACACAAAUUAAAUCUACUCUUCUCCUGGAGCUGUUCAGUAGGAUGUCACCAAGUUUUAAUGUAAGGAAGUCACCUCUAAUUAGAAAAAAUAAAACUUUAAAAUAAUUAAACAUUGAACACAGUUAUUGGGAGGCUAAAUGUACGGUCCACAAAGCUACUUCUACAGCAGAGAAAGAUAUUAAGAUAUUGAAGUGAAUAUAUGUAAAUACUUUCUUAGAGAAAGGAAGAGUAGUCUUAUCUAGACUAAACUAUUACAGUCUUUGGUGUUAUCUCAGACUUGGCUUGCCUUGAACCCACACACACAUGUAUAGUUACAUGAAGUAUUAUAACCAAACCUUUCUUUCUACAUAGCUUGUAAAACUGAAUUUGGUGGAAAUAUUCACCCUCAAAUUCAAAGCUCAGAUAUGCAAGAUCUGAUCUCAUCUCUGUUGCAUGUUAUCAAGGCUUUUUUAUAGAUGUCAUUAUUAGUAUACUGAGAAUUGAGUUAUUUGUAUGUUUGGGCUAAAUAGUAUUCAUCUAGGACAUUUCACUUUCAGUAGAGUGAGUGAAAGCUGUGUAAGUUAGUCCAGAAGGAGAAUUAGAGUUUUAAUCAAUAUACUUGCUCAGAAAUGUUUCUAUUUCUUUUAUUUACUGGUUUUUUUCUUCCUUUUUGCUAGCAAGCAGAAGUAUUAUGAAGGUACUAUGGUGCAAUUGAGUGCAUUUUGCAUUUGAAUAGAGAACAACAUAUUUGCUGCAGUUGUGAUGAUUGUCUUCCUGUCAAGUAUGCUUGCUUCUCUUGAGGAACUUGGAUCUCAUAAACAAUAGAGUUGAGUGCCUUUUAUGCAGCUUGUUAGUUAUUGACAGUGAAGGAAUGAUCCAAUUAGUAAGUGAUUAAUCACACAUUUCUUUAGGUCUCAAACUAUUGAAAAUUUAUGGAAUAAAAGAGUAUUUCAUGCACGUCUUCACCUAAUGGGUAAUCACCAUCUGAGAAUGAGAACUACAUUUAGAACAAGAACAUGGGCAGCAGCACAAAGUACUAAUUAUUUGAUUAAUUCUCCUUGUCACUGAGAAACAUACCUUUGCCAGGCAAUCAUAAUUAUAAUGACAUUAAAAUUAACUAAUAUUUUAUUGUCCAUAAACAGCAAUGAAAAUAUUCAACAUUUCCAGUUUAACCAAUUCUUUGGCAUUUCAACAACAUAUGAAAGUAAAAUUUUCUACACAGAUUUAAUUGUGAGAUUAUGAGACAUGAGAAAAUGUGCAUAAUUUCAAAGAUUGAAAAUGUUUAAAUGCUGGUUUAGAGAAACUUACUUAACAUGCAAAGUGAAAUGUUUGAUUUUGUAAAAUACCACAGUUAAAUAGUAAAGGAAACACACAAUCCUUUAAAUAAAAUACAAAAUAUACACAUUUUUAUUUUGCGGAUGUACAAAUGCUUGUAGCAUGUACAUUUCAGCAUGAUUUAUCAAGCAUCUUAUAUGGUCCCAUUAUUAUAUGAUUUCCAGUUUUCAGUUGUUCAGUUACUAAAAGUAUCUGCUAAUUUUUCUUUAUUCCAGGCUAAACAAUCAUGACUAAAUUUCAGAUAAAUACUAACCUUAUUAUGGUUAAAUCUGACAGCUAUGUGGAAUAUAAUAAUAGUAUUUUGAUAAAGUAGAUGAUGAAAUAUGAUAGAAAAAUAUAGACUUGUCAGUGCUGAACCAUAGCCUCCAAACCUUUUCAAUUUUGCAAUAAAAUAGUUUAACUCAUAUUCAAUAUAGAAAAAAUGGAAGACUUCUUAAAUCAUAUUUCAUAUGUUGCUUGUUUAAACCAACGUAUCAUUGAUUUUGGUGUACUGUCUGUAUUUCAGCUGCAAGACUGACCUAGGCACCCUGGGUUCCCUUUGUAGGCAACAGAGCAAACUGGGACUUCAUCAACAUAAUUCUUUUCAUCCCAAAGUAGAUGGUUAAAACAUGUGGGCUAAAAGCACUCAUUUCUCAGAAUUGGCUGCAAGAGUACUUUAAAGUCAUGUAGAUUUCAACCUUAUUCCUUUUGUCUUUCCCACUCAGUAUAAUAUUGUAGAUUCAUCAAAGAAAUUAGCUUAAUUGAGCAUGAUCUGCUUUCAGUAAACCAGUGAAAAUAAAGGCAAGAAAGGAUUCCUUUGGAAAACUACCUUUGUGGUCCUGUCUAUAGUUAUCUUUCACGGGUGCAAUAUGGCAGAAUAGAUGGUGAGCUAGUGGACUUGAAGAUUUCUCAAAUCAUGAUAUUACUGAAGAGCUGGUUGCUCAGUUUUUAUUUAUGUUUCUUCUGUAGCUGAUUUUUCAAAAAAUAAAAUCACUUGACUGAUUUUUCUGUGCUUUGCCUCACAUUUAAACAAUACAGACUGAGUUACUUCACAGAAAAAACUCUACAGAUAGCCUUACUGGCCUUUAUGAUAGCAACCUUUUGUUGUGCUUGACUGUCCUAGUUAGAGCAGCCAGGACCAGUUUCAUCACUGUGUGGGUGUAAUCCAAACUGUGUAUUCUACAUCCUCCAUGUCAUUUCCCAGGAACUGUUAACAAUAGACCAUUUACAGCCGCUGCCCAGAGCACACCUGACUCCUCGGGCUAUAGUUAUGGGUGAUGUUAACUCUCCUCCAGGGAGUCAUGAGCACCUCCACACCCAGGCUGAGGGGUCAUGUCUGCUAAUGGGCCACCAAGGAUUCCAAAAAUAUCUCACUACUCACAACCACCUAUUGUGGAACUCCCCGCCCUGGGGGAGGUACUGGGCGUUCCCACUUGAACCUGAGUGUAUAUAAUCUUGGGGUCUUGGGACUUCUGGCCCACUGGUCGGAUCCGGAGGAGGACAAGAAUCUCGACCAGACUGCGACCACCACUUUCAACCAGACUGUGAUCACCACCCUCGACCAGACUGUGACCAGCACUCUCACCAAGAGGUUUUCCCUCUCCUUUUACUUUGGACUCAGGGGGACCAUGUGGGGCUCAGCAUGGGGGGCCAACGAACACCACUCUGUUCGUGCCCCAGGGUGCUGGGUUAUACAUCUGGGUUUUGUGGGUUAAAACCAAUUGUUUGUCCAUAUAAUUGUUUUAUUGUAUUAUUUUUAUUAAAUUGUACCUCUGACUUAUAA